RNAcentral lists this ribosomal RNA (439 nucleotides) under uncultured bacterium. RNAcentral's name for it is "partial 16S ribosomal RNA". It matches the Rfam family "Bacterial small subunit ribosomal RNA", at positions 339 to 795 of the family's 1533-position model. The record is from RNAcentral.
CUACGGGGUGCUGCAGUGAGGAAUAUUGCACAAUGGGGGGAACCCUGAUGCAGCAACGCCGCGUGGAGGAUGACGCAUUUCGGUGUAUAAACUCCUUUUAUAUGUCAAGAAAAUGACGGUAGCAUAUGAAUAAGCACCGGCUAACUCCGUGCCAGCAGCCGCGGUAAUACGGAGGGUGCAAGCGUUACUCGGAAUCACUGGGCGUAAAGGACGCGUAGGCGGGUUGGAAAGUCAGGUGUGAAAUCCUACAGCUUAACUGUAGAACUGCACUUGAAACUUCUAAUCUAGAGUAUGGGAGGGGGAGAUGGAAUUAGUGGUGUAGGGGUAAAAGCCGUAGAUAUCACUAGGAAUACCUAAAGCGAAGGCGAUCUCCUGGAACAUUACUGACGCUAAGGCGUGAAAGCGUGGGGAGCAAACAGGAUUAGAUACCCGGGUAGUC